RNAcentral lists this ribosomal RNA (248 nucleotides) under uncultured Anaerolineaceae bacterium. Its description in RNAcentral is "partial 16S ribosomal RNA". It matches the Rfam family "Bacterial small subunit ribosomal RNA", at positions 796 to 1041 of the family's 1533-position model. The record is from RNAcentral. Lineage: Bacteria; Bacillati; Chloroflexota; Anaerolineae; Anaerolineales; Anaerolineaceae.
CUAGCCCUAAACGAUGUAGACUUGGCGUCGGUGGUUUAAUCGCCAUCGGUGUCGUAGCUAACGCGAUAAGUCUACCGCCUGGGGACUACGGCCGCAAGGUUAAAACUCAAAGGAAUUGACGGGUCCCCGCACAAGCAGCGGAGCGUGUGGUUUAAUUCGAUGCUACACGAAGAACCUUACCUGGGUUUGACAUAGAGGUAGUAGGGAAGCGAAAGCGGACCGACCCUUCGGGGAGCCUCUACAGGUGU